Molecule: non-coding RNA, 45 nt
Organism: Schistosoma mansoni
Lineage: Eukaryota; Metazoa; Platyhelminthes; Trematoda; Strigeidida; Schistosomatidae
Source: Rfam
AUUCAGCUAACGAGUCCCAAAUAGGACGAAACGCGCGUCCUGGAU